GAAAUACUUUCUCCGUCCAACAAAGGAUGUCUCAACUUUGAUUAAAUUUGAAUGCAUCUAUACACUAAGUCAUGUCUAGAUACAUCAAAAUUUUGACAAACUUGAGACAUCUUUUGUUGGACGGAGGGAGUAGUAU
Brachypodium distachyon (stiff brome) is the source of this 136-nucleotide non-coding RNA. The record is from Rfam. NCBI's taxonomy places the organism in Eukaryota, Viridiplantae, Streptophyta, Magnoliopsida, Poales, Poaceae.